AACAAUGAUGAAAACUUGGAAUAGGAAGUGCCGUCAGAUGCGAUAACUGACGAUUGUUUCUGAUCCAAUUUUCUGAGU
RNAcentral lists this small nucleolar RNA (78 nucleotides) under Salarias fasciatus (jewelled blenny). RNAcentral's name for it is "Small nucleolar RNA SNORD49 (ENSSFAG00005002529.1)". It matches the Rfam family "Small nucleolar RNA SNORD49". Rfam says of the family: U49 belongs to the C/D class of snoRNA which contain the C (UGAUGA) and D (CUGA) box motifs. Most of the members of the box C/D family function in directing site-specific 2'-O-methylation of substrate RNAs. The record is from Rfam by way of RNAcentral. Lineage: Eukaryota; Metazoa; Chordata; Actinopteri; Blenniiformes; Blenniidae.